UACGAAGGGGGCUAGCGUUGCUCGGAAUCACUGGGCGUAAAGCGCACGUAGGCGGAUUCUUAAGUCAGGGGUGAAAUCCUGGAGCUCAACUCCAGAACUGCCUUUGAUACUGGGAGUCUCGAGUCCGGGAGAGGUGAGUGGAAUUCCUGGUGUAGCGGUGGAAUGCGCAGAUAUCAGGAGGAACACCAAUAGCGAAGGCAGCUCGCUGGGACGUUACUGACACUGAGGCGCGAAAGCGUGGGGAGCGAACAGG
This 253-nucleotide ribosomal RNA is filed under the name uncultured bacterium. RNAcentral's name for it is "partial 16S ribosomal RNA". It matches the Rfam family "Bacterial small subunit ribosomal RNA", at positions 524 to 776 of the family's 1533-position model. The record is from RNAcentral.